This 2926-nucleotide ribosomal RNA is filed under the name Staphylococcus aureus. RNAcentral describes it as "23S ribosomal RNA". It matches the Rfam family "Bacterial large subunit ribosomal RNA". Lineage: Bacteria; Bacillati; Bacillota; Bacilli; Caryophanales; Staphylococcaceae. The record is from RNAcentral.
AGAUUAAGUUAUUAAGGACGCACGGUGGAUGCCUUGGCACUAGAAGCCGAUGAAGGACGUUACUAACGACGAUAUGCUUUGGGGAGCUGUAAGUAAGCUUUGAUCCAGAGAUUUCCGAAUGGGGAAACCCAGCAUGAGUUAUGUCAUGUUAUCGAUAUGUGAAUACAUAGCAUAUCAGAAGGCACACCCGGAGAACUGAAACAUCUUAGUACCCGGAGGAAGAGAAAGAAAAUUCGAUUCCCUUAGUAGCGGCGAGCGAAACGGGAAGAGCCCAAACCAACAAGCUUGCUUGUUGGGGUUGUAGGACACUCUAUACGGAGUUACAAAGGACGACAUUAGACGAAUCAUCUGGAAAGAUGAAUCAAAGAAGGUAAUAAUCCUGUAGUCGAAAAUGUUGUCUCUCUUGAGUGGAUCCUGAGUACGACGGAGCACGUGAAAUUCCGUCGGAAUCUGGGAGGACCAUCUCCUAAGGCUAAAUACUCUCUAGUGACCGAUAGUGAACCAGUACCGUGAGGGAAAGGUGAAAAGCACCCCGGAAGGGGAGUGAAAUAGAACCUGAAACCGUGUGCUUACAAGUAGUCAGAGCCCGUUAAUGGGUGAUGGCGUGCCUUUUGUAGAAUGAACCGGCGAGUUACGAUUUGAUGCAAGGUUAAGCAGUAAAUGUGGAGCCGUAGCGAAAGCGAGUCUGAAUAGGGCGUUUAGUAUUUGGUCGUAGACCCGAAACCAGGUGAUCUACCCUUGGUCAGGUUGAAGUUCAGGUAACACUGAAUGGAGGACCGAACCGACUUACGUUGAAAAGUGAGCGGAUGAACUGAGGGUAGCGGAGAAAUUCCAAUCGAACCUGGAGAUAGCUGGUUCUCUCCGAAAUAGCUUUAGGGCUAGCCUCAAGUGAUGAUUAUUGGAGGUAGAGCACUGUUUGGACGAGGGGCCCCUCUCGGGUUACCGAAUUCAGACAAACUCCGAAUGCCAAUUAAUUUAACUUGGGAGUCAGAACAUGGGUGAUAAGGUCCGUGUUCGAAAGGGAAACAGCCCAGACCACCAGCUAAGGUCCCAAAAUAUAUGUUAAGUGGAAAAGGAUGUGGCGUUGCCCAGACAACUAGGAUGUUGGCUUAGAAGCAGCCAUCAUUUAAAGAGUGCGUAAUAGCUCACUAGUCGAGUGACACUGCGCCGAAAAUGUACCGGGGCUAAACAUAUUACCGAAGCUGUGGAUUGUCCUUUGGACAAUGGUAGGAGAGCGUUCUAAGGGCGUUGAAGCAUGAUCGUAAGGACAUGUGGAGCGCUUAGAAGUGAGAAUGCCGGUGUGAGUAGCGAAAGACGGGUGAGAAUCCCGUCCACCGAUUGACUAAGGUUUCCAGAGGAAGGCUCGUCCGCUCUGGGUUAGUCGGGUCCUAAGCUGAGGCCGACAGGCGUAGGCGAUGGAUAACAGGUUGAUAUUCCUGUACCACCUAUAAUCGUUUUAAUCGAUGGGGGACGCAGUAGGAUAGGCGAAGCGUGCGAUUGGAUUGCACGUCUAAGCAGUAAGGCUGAGUAUUAGGCAAAUCCGGUACUCGUUAAGGCUGAGCUGUGAUGGGGAGAAGACAUUGUGUCUUCGAGUCGUUGAUUUCACACUGCCGAGAAAAGCCUCUAGAUAGAAAAUAGGUGCCCGUACCGCAAACCGACACAGGUAGUCAAGAUGAGAAUUCUAAGGUGAGCGAGCGAACUCUCGUUAAGGAACUCGGCAAAAUGACCCCGUAACUUCGGGAGAAGGGGUGCUCUUUAGGGUUAACGCCCAGAAGAGCCGCAGUGAAUAGGCCCAAGCGACUGUUUAUCAAAAACACAGGUCUCUGCUAAACCGUAAGGUGAUGUAUAGGGGCUGACGCCUGCCCGGUGCUGGAAGGUUAAGAGGAGUGGUUAGCUUCUGCGAAGCUACGAAUCGAAGCCCCAGUAAACGGCGGCCGUAACUAUAACGGUCCUAAGGUAGCGAAAUUCCUUGUCGGGUAAGUUCCGACCCGCACGAAAGGCGUAACGAUUUGGGCACUGUCUCAACGAGAGACUCGGUGAAAUCAUAGUACCUGUGAAGAUGCAGGUUACCCGCGACAGGACGGAAAGACCCCGUGGAGCUUUACUGUAGCCUGAUAUUGAAAUUCGGCACAGCUUGUACAGGAUAGGUAGGAGCCUUUGAAACGUGAGCGCUAGCUUACGUGGAGGCGCUGGUGGGAUACUACCCUAGCUGUGUUGGUUUUCUAACCCGCACCACUUAUCGUGGUGGGAGACAGUGUCAGGCGGGCAGUUUGACUGGGGCGGUCGCCUCCUAAAAGGUAACGGAGGCGCUCAAAGGUUCCCUCAGAAUGGUUGGAAAUCAUUCAUAGAGUGUAAAGGCAUAAGGGAGCUUGACUGCGAGACCUACAAGUCGAGCAGGGUCGAAAGACGGACUUAGUGAUCCGGUGGUUCCGCAUGGAAGGGCCAUCGCUCAACGGAUAAAAGCUACCCCGGGGAUAACAGGCUUAUCUCCCCCAAGAGUUCACAUCGACGGGGAGGUUUGGCACCUCGAUGUCGGCUCAUCGCAUCCUGGGGCUGUAGUCGGUCCCAAGGGUUGGGCUGUUCGCCCAUUAAAGCGGUACGCGAGCUGGGUUCAGAACGUCGUGAGACAGUUCGGUCCCUAUCCGUCGUGGGCGUAGGAAAUUUGAGAGGAGCUGUCCUUAGUACGAGAGGACCGGGAUGGACAUACCUCUGGUGUACCAGUUGUCGUGCCAACGGCAUAGCUGGGUAGCUAUGUGUGGACGGGAUAAGUGCUGAAAGCAUCUAAGCAUGAAGCCCCCCUCAAGAUGAGAUUUCCCAACUUCGGUUAUAAGAUCCCUCAAAGAUGAUGAGGUUAAUAGGUUCGAGGUGGAAGCAUGGUGACAUGUGGAGCUGACGAAUACUAAUCGAUCGAAGACUUAAUCAAAUU